Molecule: long non-coding RNA, 574 nt
Organism: Zootermopsis nevadensis
Lineage: Eukaryota; Metazoa; Arthropoda; Insecta; Blattodea; Termopsidae
Source: RefSeq, a predicted model, not a curated record
CAGCUUUUGUGUCUACUGGGAUUGUGUAGGACGAUGAAUCAAAGGAGUUAAGGAUCCUGGCCGUGGCCUAUUUUAAGCCGCUGACUGUACGUCACUGGAAAUAAAUUGCACCAGGGUCGAUCUGUGGACCUCUCGAAUGACGAGACCAUCACGCUCGCGAAGCAGUAAUUUCCCGUUAUACGAAGAUCGAAGUCACAUCACGUUACUAAACUGAUGACAUAAAACGAACCAACAAGAGAAACCAGAAGACCAGCAUUGCUAAAAUGAAGAUCCACCAUUGGGUUACCGAGGGAUCACCCGUCCAGUAGAGAUUUGCCGGUCGCGAUACAACCAGAGGAUACAACCCAUAGUGCUUCUGAAGUUACUCAGCUUACUCAGGACGGACCUCUGAGAAAACACCUACUGCUUUGGUCCUCACUUGCAGCAUGCAAGGCAACGUGAUAAUAACGACUUGAGAGGAGCUCUGUAAAAGGUGGUCUGGUAAUGACUUCGAGAUGAAUGCUUAGUAAAUGUAUUGUGCUGUCAGAAGGAUAGUUCAAUCUCAAAAUGAUUGUUUAAUUAUUGUACUCAUGCA